CCUCCAGGACCAAUAUAUAGGACUCUAAUAUAUAUCAAGUUUAGUCUAAAAUCUUUAAGUUGACGUCCAUUUGUCAAUGACCCAUCUAUCGUAUGAUGUCUUCUUCAGGCCCGUGGUCUUAGCAUCACCGCACUGAGGCCUCGCUUGCUUUUGUUCAACUUCACUGGAUACAGUUUGAAGAUAAAGGACAUGUCUGCCGAAAAGGGACCAUUAGUAAUUGGACAGUUGACUCAAAAACGGUUUCAUGGACACGCGCUGGCUAUUUCUUCAUUAUUUCUACAUCAAUUAAGCAGGUAAAAGGUCAGGAGUUGAUUCGAAGUGUGCUAUUUGCAUUUGGAAGCUAUUGCUGUGAACCCACAUCAUGCAGUCAAAGGAUCUCUCCAUACAAGUGAAACAAGACUAUUGUUAGGCUUCAAAAACCAAACCGAUCCGUCAGAGAGAUUGCAGGAACAUUAGGAGCGGCCAAAUCAACAGUUUGGUACAUUCAGAGAAAAAAA
Molecule: long non-coding RNA, 497 nt
Organism: Sinocyclocheilus rhinocerous
Lineage: Eukaryota; Metazoa; Chordata; Actinopteri; Cypriniformes; Cyprinidae
Exons: 3
Source: RefSeq, a predicted model, not a curated record